Molecule: ribosomal RNA, 471 nt
Filed under: uncultured bacterium
Lineage: Bacteria
Description: partial 16S ribosomal RNA
Rfam family: Bacterial small subunit ribosomal RNA
Source: RNAcentral
GACGAACGCUGGCGGCGUGCUUAACACAUGCAAGUCGAACGAUGAAGCCUAGCUUGCUAGGUGGAUUAGUGGCGAACGGGUGAGUAAUACGUGAGUAACCUACCUUUAACUCUGGGAUAAGCCUGGGAAACUGGGUCUAAUACCGGAUACGACCAGUCUCCGCAUGGGGUGUUGGUGGAAAGCGUUAUGUAGUGGUUAUAGAUGGGCUCACGGCCUAUCAGCUUGUUGGUGAGGUAACGGCUCACCAAGGCGACGACGGGUAGCCGGCCUGAGAGGGUGACCGGCCACACUGGGACUGAGACACGGCCCAGACUCCUACGGGAGGCAGCAGUGGGGAAUAUUGCACAAUGGGCGCAAGCCUGAUGCAGCGACGCCGCGUGAGGGAUGACGGCCUUCGGGUCGUAAACCUCUGUUAGCAGGGAAGAAGAGAGAUUGACGGUACCUGCAGAGAAAGCGCCGGCUAACUACGUG